This 2117-nucleotide small RNA is filed under the name Pan troglodytes (chimpanzee). RNAcentral describes it as "processed transcript". Lineage: Eukaryota; Metazoa; Chordata; Mammalia; Primates; Hominidae. The record is from RNAcentral.
ACCUUGGGCGAGGAGUUCGGAGCGGCCCCAUCGCAGAGCCCACGGCCGGCCGAGCGCGCGCGACGCAGGUGCCCGAGCCCCGGCGCCGCCGCCAUCUCUGCCUUCGGUCGAGUUGGACCCCCGGAUCAAGGUGUACUUCUCUGAAGUAAGAUGAUUUGUCAAAAAUUCUGUGUGGUUUUGUUACAUUGGGAAUUUAUUUAUGUGAUAACUGCAUUUAACUUGUCAUAUCCAAUUACUCCUUGGAGAUUUAAGUUGUCUUGCAUGCCACCAAAUUCAACCUAUGACUACUUCCUUUUGCCUGCUGGACUCUCAAAGAAUACUUCAAAUUCGAAUGGACGUUAUGAGACAGCUGUUGAACCUAAGUUUAAUUCAAGUGGUACUCUCUUUUCUAACUUAUCCAAAACAACUUUCCACUGUUGCUUUCGGAGUGAGCAAGAUAGAAACUGCUCCUUAUGUGCAGACAACAUUGAAGGAAAGACAUUUGUUUCAACAGUAAAUUCUUUAGUUUUUCAACGAAUAGAUGCAAACUGGAACAUACAGUGCUGGCUAAAAGGAGACUUAAAAUUAUUCAUCUGUUAUGUGGAGUCAUUAUUUAAGAAUCCAUUCAGGAAUUAUAACUAUAAGGUCCAUCUUUUAUAUGUUCUGCCUGAAGUGUUAGAAGAUUCACCUCUGGUUCCCCCAAAAGGCAGUUUUCAGAUGGUUCACUGCAAUUGCAGUGUUCAUGAAUGUUGUGAAUGUCUUGUGCCUGUGCCAACAGCCAAACUCAACGACACUCUCCUUAUGUGUUUGAAAAUCACAUCUGGUGGAGUAAUUUUCCAGUCACCUCUAAUGUCAGUUCAGCCCAUAAAUAUGGUGAAGCCUGAUCCACCAUUAGGUUUGCAUAUGGAAAUCACAGAUGAUGGUAAUUUAAAGAUUUCUUGGUCCAGCCCACCAUUGGUACCAUUUCCACUUCAAUAUCAAGUGAAAUAUUCAGAGAAUUCUACAACAGUUAUCAGAGAAGCUGACAAGAUUGUCUCAGCUACAUCCCUGCUGGUAGACAGUAUACUUCCUGGGUCUUCGUAUGAGGUUCAGGUGAGGGGCAAGAGACUGGAUGGCCCAGGAAUCUGGAGUGACUGGAGUACUCCUCAUGUCUUUACCACACAAGAUGUAAUAUACUUUCCACCUAAAAUUCUGACAAGUGUUGGGUCUAAUGUUUCUUUUCACUGCAUCUAUAAGAAUGAAAACAAGAUUGUUCCCUCAAAAGAGAUUGUUUGGUGGAUGAAUUUAGCUGAGAAAAUUCCUCAAAGCCAGUAUGAUGUUGUGAGUGAUCAUGUUAGCAAAGUUACUUUUUUCAAUCUGAAUGAAACCAAACCUCGAGGAAAGUUUACCUAUGAUGCAGUGUACUGCUGCAAUGAACAUGAAUGCCAUCAUCGCUAUGCUGAAUUAUAUGUGAUUGAUGUCAAUAUCAAUAUCUCAUGUGAAACUGAUGGGUACUUAACUAAAAUGACUUGCAGAUGGUCAACCGGUACAAUCCAGUCACUUGCGGAAAGCACUUUGCAAUUGAGGUAUCAUAGGAGCAGCCUUUACUGUUCUGAUAUUCCAUCUAUUCAUCCCAUAUCUGAGCCCAAAGAUUGCUAUUUGCAGAGUGAUGGUUUUUAUGAAUGCAUUUUCCAGCCAAUCUUCCUAUUAUCUGGCUACACAAUGUGGAUUAGGAUCAAUCACUCUCUAGGUUCACUUGACUCUCCACCAACAUGUGUCCUUCCUGAUUCUGUGGUGAAGCCACUGCCUCCAUCCAGUGUGAAAGCAGAAAUUACUAUAAACAUUGGAUUAUUGAAAAUAUCUUGGGAAAAGCCAGUCUUUCCAGAGAAUAACCUUCAAUUCCAGAUUCGCUAUGGUUUAAGUGGAAAAGAAGUACAAUGGAAGAUGUAUGAGGUUUAUGAUGCAAAAUCAAAAUCUGUCAGUCUCCCAGUUCCAGACUUGUGUGCAGUCUAUGCUGUUCAGGUGCGCUGUAAGAGGCUAGAUGGACUGGGAUAUUGGAGUAAUUGGAGCAAUCCAGCCUACACAGUUGUCAUGGAUAUAAAAGUUCCUAUGAGAGGACCUGAAUUUUGGAGAAUAAUUAAUGGAGAUACUAUGAAAAA